GGGGGUAUAGCUCAGGGGCAGAGCAUUUGACUGCAGAUCAAGAGGUCCCCGG
Non-coding RNA from Haliaeetus albicilla (white-tailed eagle), 52 nucleotides. Lineage: Eukaryota; Metazoa; Chordata; Aves; Accipitriformes; Accipitridae. The record is from Rfam.